RNAcentral lists this ribosomal RNA (320 nucleotides) under uncultured eukaryote. Its description in RNAcentral is "partial 18S ribosomal RNA". It matches the Rfam family "Eukaryotic small subunit ribosomal RNA", at positions 1470 to 1796 of the family's 1831-position model. The record is from RNAcentral.
CCCUUAGAUGUUCUGGGCCGCACGCGCGCUACACUGAUGCAUUCAACGAGUCUAAAACCUGGUCUGAUAGGGCUGGGUAAUCUUUUGAAAGUGCAUCGUGAUUGGGAUAGAUGAUUGCAAUUCUUCAUCUUCAACGAGGAAUGCCUAGUAAACGCAAGUCAUCAGCUUGCAUUGAUUACGUCCCUGCCCUUUGUACACACCGCCCGUCGCUGCAACUGAUUGGGUGACCUGGUGAACAUCUUGGACCGGCCCACUCAAUUUCGAGAGGACUGGAAAAGGCCGUAAAUCAGGUACAUCUAGAAAUUGCAAAAGUCGUAACA